ACCUUAAUUGCCGAAGCAACAACUUGUAUGAUCAAAACCAAAAAAACAAACCAAAUAAUGAAUCGAAAUAAAAACAUUAAUUAUGCCAUUCUAAGAAUAUAGUUAUCUGUUUUCGAUUUACGUUGUUUGUUACUCGUUCCAAAGACGCAUGUUUUAUACAAUAAUACUAAUUAAAUAAACAUCUAACUGCUUAUCAUAAAGAUAAAAAUAAAUAGAAUUCGCUGGCAGUCGGAUUCUGCAGUAUAAAAGCAGCGAUAGAUGUGACAAUUUAAUUGUCUCUUUUCGGAAGUGAAACCUAUUCGGUGGUAACUAGUGAUCAGUAUUAAAAAUGUUUUCAAAAAUAUCUUCACUUAUUUUACUCCUACUUAUUGUUGCAGUCGUUGUGACAGUGUCAGCUGAUGAUGGUUAUAAACAUCAUCGUGAAAAGCGUGCCUAUUGCACUGGAUUCUUAUGUGAACGCUAUUAUUGUGACCAAUGUUGCUACAAUCGAAAGCCCUUUGCACAAAAUGGAGUUCCCUGCAUAGACUGGCUGAGGUCACAAUGUUGUUAAUUCUACCAUAUGUAGUAAAACACCAAAUCGAUUAUAUUUCGUUUUAUGUGCAUGGUGUGCGUACAUAAUACGUCAG
This is a long non-coding RNA of Bradysia coprophila, 626 nucleotides long. RefSeq lists it as uncharacterized. NCBI's taxonomy places the organism in Eukaryota, Metazoa, Arthropoda, Insecta, Diptera, Sciaridae. The record is from RefSeq and is a predicted model, not a curated record.